Molecule: ribosomal RNA, 440 nt
Filed under: uncultured bacterium
Lineage: Bacteria
Description: partial 16S ribosomal RNA
Rfam family: Bacterial small subunit ribosomal RNA
Source: RNAcentral
CCUACGGGUGGCUGCAGUGGGGGAUAUUGCACAAUGGGGGGAACCCUGAUGCAGCGACGCCGCGUGGGUGAAGAAGCGCCUCGGCGCGUAAAGCCCUGUCAGCAGGGAAGAAAAUGACGGUACCUGAAGAAGAAGCCCCGGCUAACGACGUGCCAGCAGCCGCGGUAAUACGGAGGGGGCAAGCGUUAUCCGGAUUUCCUGGGUGGAAAGGGGGCGCAGACGGCGAUGCAAGCCAGGAGUGAAAGCCCGGGGCCCAACCCCGGGACUGCUCUUGGAACUGCGUGGCUAGAGUGCAGGAGGGGCAGGCGGCAUUCCUGGUGUAGCGGUGACAUGCGUCGAUAUCAGGAGGAACCCCGGUGGCGAAGGCGGCCUGCUGGACUGCAACUGACGUUGCGGCCCGAACGCGUGGGGAGCAAACCGGAUUAGAUACCCCUGUAGUC